This 540-nucleotide ribosomal RNA is filed under the name Triticum aestivum (bread wheat). Its description in RNAcentral is "partial small subunit ribosomal RNA". Lineage: Eukaryota; Viridiplantae; Streptophyta; Magnoliopsida; Poales; Poaceae. The record is from RNAcentral.
AUGCUGUCGAGGAUCUCCCGCCUUGGCGUCCACGCCCUGAACCGGGCGAGGCUAGGUCAAAAGUCAGUAACUUCAAGGAAUCAGGAAGAACCCAUCAGAGCCUGUAUGAACUAUGUGGGUAAUCAUUCUCUAUGUUCCGCCACGGAAGCUAAAGUCAGUGACAGGAGCGAACAGCCGAAAGCUAAGAUAUCUGUGACAUUUGUUGAUAAGGAUGGCGAUGAAACGGUUAUCAAUGUUCCUAUUGGGAUGUCAAUGCUGGAAGCUGCUCAUGAGAAUGACAUAGAACUUGAAGGAGCAUGUGAGGGCUCUCUUGCAUGUUCUACCUGUCAUGUGAUUGUAACGGACGUAGACUACUAUAACAAAUUGGAAGAUCCUGAAGAUGAGGAAAACGAUAUGCUGGACCUUGCUUUUGGGCUUACAGAAACAUCUCGCCUUGGUUGCCAAGUAAUUGCAAGCCCUGAACUUGAUGGCAUAAGAUUAGCACUGCCAGCAGCUACCAGAAAUUUUGCUGUUGAUGGGCAUGUCCCGAAACCACACUGA